GACGAACGCUGGCGGCGUGCUUAACACAUGCAAGUCGAACGGAAAGGCCCUGCUUUUGUGGGGUGCUCGAGUGGCGAACGGGUGAGUAACACGUGAGUAACCUGCCCUUGACUUUGGGAUAACUUCAGGAAACUGGGGCUAAUACCGGAUAGGAGCUCCUGCUGCAUGGUGGGGUUGGAAAGUUUCGGCGGUUGGGGAUGGACUCGCGGCUUAUCAGCUGGUUGGUGGGGUAGUGGCUUACCAAGGCUUUGACGGGUAGCCGGCCUGAGAGGGUGACCGGCCACAUUGGGACUGAGAUACGGCCCAGACUCCUACGGGAGGCAGCAGUGGGGAAUAUUGCACAAUGGGCGGAAGCCUGAUGCAGCAACGCCGCGUGCGGGAUGACGGCCUUCGGGUUGUAAACCGCUUUCGCCUGUGACGAAGCGUGAGUGACGGUAAUGGGUAAAGAAGCACCGGCUAACUACGUG
This 467-nucleotide ribosomal RNA is filed under the name uncultured bacterium. RNAcentral's name for it is "partial 16S ribosomal RNA". It matches the Rfam family "Bacterial small subunit ribosomal RNA", at positions 28 to 507 of the family's 1533-position model. The record is from RNAcentral.